Molecule: ribosomal RNA, 483 nt
Filed under: uncultured bacterium
Lineage: Bacteria
Description: partial 16S ribosomal RNA
Rfam family: Bacterial small subunit ribosomal RNA
Source: RNAcentral
AUUGAACGCUGGCGGCAGGCCUAACACAUGCAAGUCGAGCGGAUGAAGGGAGCUUGCGCCUGGAUUCAGCGUCGGACGGGUGAGUAAUGCCUAGGAAUCUGCCUGGUAUUGGUUGAUAACGUCCUGAAACGGGCGCUAAUACCGCAUACGUCGUGAUGGAGAAAGUUGGGGAUCUUCGGACCUCACGCUAUCAUAUGAGCCUAGUUCGGAUUAGCUAGUUGGUGGGGUAAAGGCCUACCAAGGGGACGAUCCGUAACUGGUCUGAGAGGAUGAUCAGUCACACUGGAGCUGAGACACGAUACAGACACCUACGGGAGGCAGCAGUGGGUAAUGGAGGAAGAUGUGCGAAAGACUGAUCAAGCCACGGCGCGUGUGUGAAGAAGGUCCUCGGAUUGUAAAGCACUUUAAGUUGGGAGGAAGGGCAGUACGUUAAUACAUUCCUGUUUUGCGGUUACGAACAGAAUAAGCACCGGUUAACUUCGU